Molecule: ribosomal RNA, 253 nt
Filed under: uncultured bacterium
Lineage: Bacteria
Description: partial 16S ribosomal RNA
Rfam family: Bacterial small subunit ribosomal RNA
Source: RNAcentral
UACGAAGGGGGCUAGCGUUGCUCGGAAUCACUGGGCGUAAAGCGCACGUAGGCGGACUCUUAAGUCGGUGGUGAAAUCCUGGAGCUCAACUCCAGAACUGCCUUCGAUACUGGGAGUCUCGAGUCCGGAAGAGGAGAGUGGAAUUCCCGGUGUAGCGGUGAAAUGCGCAGAUAUCGGGAAGAACACCCGUGGCUAAGGCGGCUCUCUAGUACGGUACUGACGCUGAGACGCGAAAGCGUGGGGAGCGAACAGG